GAUGAAGAACGUAGCGAAAUGCGAUAAGUAAUGUGAAUUGCAGAAUUCAGUGAAUCAUCGAAUCUUUGAACGCAUCUUGCGCUCCUUGGUAUUCCUUGGAGCAUGCCUGUUUGAGUAUCAUGAGCAAAUCUCAAAGUCAAUUCCUUUUGUUGAUUCAAUUGGUUUUGCUUUGGACUUGGAGGCCUUGCAGAUUUCACAGUCUGCUCCUCUUAAAUGCAUUAGCUGGAUCUCAGUAAUUAUGCUUGGUUCCACUCGGCGUGAUAAGUAUCACUCGCUGAGGACACUGUUAAAAAGGUGGCCAGGAAAAUACUGAUUGAACCGCUUCUAACGGUCUAUUAAGUUAGACAAUUACCCUUAAGUUUGCUCUCAAAUCAGGUAGGACUACCCGCUGAACUUAAGCAUAUCAAUAAGCGGAGGA
Molecule: unclassified non-coding RNA, 418 nt
Filed under: soil metagenome
Description: partial contains 5.8S ribosomal RNA, internal transcribed spacer 2, and large subunit ribosomal RNA
Rfam family: 5.8S ribosomal RNA (bases 1-120)
Source: RNAcentral